UCCGGUUUGUCACCGGCAGUCUCCUUAGAGUGCCCAACUGAAUGCUGGCAACUAAGAACAAGGGUUGCGCUCGUUGCGGGACUUAACCCAACAUCUCACGACACGAGCUGACGACAACCAUGCACCACCUGUCACACUGUCCCCCGAAGGGGAACGCCCUAUCUCUAGGGUUGUCAGAGGAUGUCAAGACCUGGUAAGGUUCUUCGCGUUGCUUCGAAUUAAACCACAUGCUCCACUGCUUGUGCGGGUCCCCGUCAAUUCUUUUGAGUUUCACCCUUGCGAGCGUACUCCUCAGGCGGUAUACUUAUCAGGUUUCCUUCGGCACUGACUAAAUAAAGCCAACACCAAGUAUUCAUCGUUUAGGGCGUGGACUAC
RNAcentral lists this unclassified non-coding RNA (375 nucleotides) under uncultured Caryophanales bacterium. Its description in RNAcentral is "uncultured Bacillales bacterium contains 16S-23S intergenic spacer region". The record is from RNAcentral. Lineage: Bacteria; Bacillati; Bacillota; Bacilli; Caryophanales.